UUUAAGUGUUUAGGGAGAAAU
This 21-nucleotide non-coding RNA is filed under the name Caenorhabditis elegans. Lineage: Eukaryota; Metazoa; Nematoda; Chromadorea; Rhabditida; Rhabditidae. The record is from RNAcentral.